UACGUAGGGGGCAAGCGUUGUCCGGAUUCAUUGGGCGUAAAGAGCGUGUAGGCGGCCAGGUAGGUCCGUUGUGAAAACUCGAGGCUCAACCUCGAGACGUCGAUGGAAACCAUCUGGCUAGAGUCCGGAAGAGGAGAGUGGAAUUCCUGGUGUAGCGGUGAAAUGCGCAGAUAUCAGGAAGAACACCCGUGGCGAAGGCGGUUCUCUGGGACGGUACUGACGCUGAGACGCGAAAGCGUGGGGAGCGAACAGG
This 253-nucleotide ribosomal RNA is filed under the name uncultured bacterium. Its description in RNAcentral is "partial 16S ribosomal RNA". It matches the Rfam family "Bacterial small subunit ribosomal RNA", at positions 524 to 776 of the family's 1533-position model. The record is from RNAcentral.